CGAUGUUUGAGCGAUCCAUGGCUCAGGAUGAACGCUGGCGGCAGGCCUAACACAUGCAAUGACCUCACGCAAACGUAACAGGCAGAGAGCUUUGCUUCUGCCCCGUGCUGACGAGUGGCGACGGCAGUGACGUAAUGUCUGGGAAACUGCCUGAUGCCGCACGAGUCCAACACUGGAAACGGUAGCACUACAGUACCGCAUAACGUGCGCAAGACAAAGAGGGGACACUUCGGCGCUGCUUCGCCAUCAGCCGAUGUGCCGAGAUGGGCAUUAGCUAGUAGGCUUGGGGCUACCGGCACUCCUACCUAGGCGACGUAUCCACUCAGCUGGUCUCGAGAGGCAUGACCAGCACACACUCUGGAGACUGUAGACACGGUCCCGACUCCUACGUGGACGGCCAGCAGUGCGCGUACAUAUACUCGCACAAACUGUCGGGCGCACCAGCCUGUACGUGCAGCCACACUGCCGUCGCUGUAUGAAGCAAGCCUUAUCGGGUUGUCAAAGAUUACUUUCCGCGGGGACGAGCAAGGCGGCAGUCAAAACGUUAAUACUUAUCCGCUCAUUGACGCUUACCCGCAGAAGAUAGCACCUCGGCUAACUCCUGCUCCAGCAUGCCGCGGUAUACGGAGGGUGCAAGCGUGUAAUCGAAUGACGUUACUGGGGCGGUAACCCUCUUCCUAGCGCACGCGAGGCGGCUGUGUACGUCACGCACUCGUCCGAAACUCCCCGGGCUCACCUGGAGCACUGCAUCUGUGAUCUGGCAAGCUGAGUCUCGUAGAGGGAGGGUAGAAACUCUCACAGGUGUAGGUGACAAUGCGUAGAGAUCUGACGGAAUACCGGUGGCGAAGCGGCUGGCACGAAGACUGACGCUCAGGUGCGAAAGCGUGGGGAGCAAACAGGAUUAGCAUACCUGUAGUCCACUGCGUAAACGAUGUCGGCUUGGAGGUUCGUAUGCCCUCGCGGCGUGGCUUAUCCGGAGACUAGACGCGUAUAAGUCGACCGCCGUGCAGUACGGCCGCAAGGUUAAAACUCAAAUGAUUGACGGGCGCCCGCACAAGUCGGGGAGCAUGUGGUUUAAUUCGAUGCAACGCGAAGAACCUACCUGGUCUUGACAUCCACGGAAGUUUGUUCAGAGAUGAGAAUGUGCCUAGCGGGAACAGUGAGCGACAGUGCUGUCUGCAUGGCAUGUCGUCAGCUCGUGUUGUGAAUGUUGGUUGAAGUCCCGCAAGCGUAGCGCAUACCUUAUCCUUGCGUGCCAGCGGUGCCGGCCGGGACUCAAGGAGGACUGCCAUGUGUAAACGGAGGAAGGUGUGGAUCCGACGUCAAGUCAUCAUGGCCUUACGACCAGGUGCUACACACGUGCUACAAUGGCGCAUACAUAAAGAGAUUAGACGACCGCUCGCGUAGAAGCAUAGCGGCACCUCAUAAAGUGCGUCGUGAGUCCGCGAUUGGAGAUCUGCAACUCGACUCCAUGAAGUCGGGUGAAACUACGCUAGUAAUCGUGGUGAGCUCAGAAUGCACGUGAUUAGCGUUCCCUUGGCGUUGUACACACGCGCCCGUCACUACGCAUGGGAGUGGGUUGCACAAAAGACGUAGGUAGUCUUACUUCGUGAGGAGGUUGCGCUUACCACACUUGUGAUUCAUGACUGGGGUGAAGUCGUACAAGUACCGGUAGGAACCUGCGGUUGGAUCACCUCCUUA
This 1701-nucleotide ribosomal RNA is filed under the name Escherichia coli. RNAcentral describes it as "16S ribosomal RNA". It matches the Rfam family "Bacterial small subunit ribosomal RNA". Lineage: Bacteria; Pseudomonadati; Pseudomonadota; Gammaproteobacteria; Enterobacterales; Enterobacteriaceae. The record is from RNAcentral.